AUGGCCUGCAGCAGCGGCAGGUGUUGCCUUCAGCUCGAGUGGGAUCCGCAGCUGAUCAGGUACUUCGGUGGUCUAGGCGCGCUGGGCGUCGCCGCCGGCGGUAAUCCCGACGGUCAUGGUGCCAUCGAGCACGAGCUCGGGCUCUUCUUCCCCAAGUGCAUGGAGUGGCCGGGUUCUUCAGAGCCGCCGCGGGAGGAUGUGACGGAGUGGUCCGAGGAGCAGUUGGAGGAACUGAUCCGAAGUUUCCCGAUCCUAGACGAGGAUCUGGUAGGCUUCGAUCCCACCUGCAUUAUCGAGGAUACAAGCACUGCUGCUGAUGCUUCUUUCCUGUGGGUUGAUGAUCUCCUGGCCCCGAGCUCUGCCUCGCCGGUGGAGCCGCCCACAUUGCCGGUGGCGCAGCCGGAGCAGCCUCCCCUCAGCUCGCCAUCGUGCAAUCGCCACGGCGACCAGCAGCGCCAGAUCACUCGCGCCAACUGUUCGGCCAAACGCUCGGCGACACAAGAAACAGAGCAGGAUGGAAGGAGCGGCAAGAGGCGCAGGAAGUCAGGGCUGACGGUGGUGCGGCCGUUCUCGGUGGUGAAGCCCGGCCCCCGCGGGGUGGACGGCGUCGAGACGCUGGCCGACAUCAACGAGCGGAUCCUGACGCCGUCGGCGAGGCCCGUCCGGCACCCCGUGGGGGAGUACGCGAGCGCCCCGCGGGCAUCCGCGGGCGGCGACCGGCCGGCCCCGUCCGGCAAGGCAGUCACCGGUUUCACCAGGCUGCACACCGCCGGGAAGGGCACGAUCACCGUCAUAAGGUCAUCCGGAUAA
Molecule: ribosomal RNA, 810 nt
Filed under: Triticum aestivum (bread wheat)
Lineage: Eukaryota; Viridiplantae; Streptophyta; Magnoliopsida; Poales; Poaceae
Description: partial small subunit ribosomal RNA
Source: RNAcentral